UGGGGAAUUUUGGACAAUGGACGCAAGUCUGAUCCAGCCAUGCCGCGUGCGGGAAGAAGGCCUUCGGGUUGUAAACCGCUUUUGUCAGGGAAGAAACGAGUUUCUCUAAUACAGAGACUUAAUGACGGUACCUGAAGAAUAAGCACCGGCUAACUACGUGCCAGCAGCCGCGGUAAUACGUAGGGUGCGAGCGUUAAUCGGAAUUACUGGGCGUAAGGCGUGCGCAGGCGGUUAUAUAAGACAGAUGUGAAAUCCCCGGGCUCAACCUGGGAACUGCAUUUGUGACUGUAUAGCUAGAGUACGGCAGAGGGGGAUGGAAUUCCGCGUGUAGCAGUGAAAUGCGUAGAUAUGCGGAGGAACACCGAUGGCGAAGGCAAUCCCCUGGACCUGUACUGACGCUCAUGCACGAAAGCGUGGGGAGCAAACA
RNAcentral lists this ribosomal RNA (427 nucleotides) under uncultured bacterium. Its description in RNAcentral is "bacterial SSU rRNA". It matches the Rfam family "Bacterial small subunit ribosomal RNA", at positions 355 to 774 of the family's 1533-position model. The record is from RNAcentral.